UUGUAGUAAGUCCACCAAUUACUAAUAUAUUUUCUAAUUCCUCAUAAGUCUCUCUUGAAUAUAUUUCUAUUAUAACAUUUCCAUCCAUACUUAUAGCUAAAUUCUCCAAAACCUUUAUCAAAUCAUCUUCUAAACCUAUUUCUUCUAUUACUUUGACUAUGGCUCCAUCACUUGAAACUAAAUCCAUUCUUUUUAAGUUUUUCUCUUGUUUCUUCAUCCUUCUUCUAUGUACAAAAUCUAAAUCUUUAAUCUUUUAAUACUUACAAA
This 267-nucleotide long non-coding RNA is filed under the name Physcomitrium patens. RNAcentral describes it as "long non-coding RNA (PPAT_LNC000359)". Lineage: Eukaryota; Viridiplantae; Streptophyta; Bryopsida; Funariales; Funariaceae. The record is from RNAcentral.